RNAcentral lists this ribosomal RNA (497 nucleotides) under uncultured bacterium. RNAcentral's name for it is "partial 16S ribosomal RNA". It matches the Rfam family "Bacterial small subunit ribosomal RNA", at positions 28 to 507 of the family's 1533-position model. The record is from RNAcentral.
GAUGAACGCUGGCGGCGUGCCUAAUACAUGCAAGUCGAGCGAACAGAUGAGGAGCUUGCUCCUCUGACGUUAGCGGCGGACGGGUGAGUAACACGUGGAUAACCUACCUAUAAGACUGGGAUAACUUCGGGAAACCGGAGCUAAUACCGGAUAAUAUAUUGAACCGCAUGGUUCAAUAGUGAAAGACGGUUUUGCUGUCACUUAUAGCUGGAUCCGCGCCGCAUUAGCUAGUUGGUAAGGUAACGGCUUACCAAGGCAACGACGCGUAGCCGACCUGAGAGGGUGAUCGGCCACACUGGAACUUAGACACGGUCCAGACUCCUACGGGAGGCAGCAGUAGGGAAUCUUCCGCAAUGGGCGAAAGCCUGACGGAGCAACGCCGCGUGAGUGAUGAAGGUCUUCGGAUCGUAAAACUCUGUUAUUAGGGAAGAACAAAUGUGUAAGUAACUAUGCACGUCUUGACGGUACCUAAUCAGAAAGCCACGGCUAACUACGUG